UAGGGAAUCUUCGGCAAUGGGGGCAACCCUGACCGAGCAACGCCGCGUGAGUGAAGAAGGUUUUCGGAUCGUAAAGCUCUGUUGUAAGUCAAGAACGAGUGUGAGAGUGGAAAGUUCACACUGUGACGGUAGCUUACCAGAAAGGGACGGCUAACUACGUGCCAGCAGCCGCGGUAAUACGUAGGUCCCGAGCGUUGUCCGGAUUUAUUGGGCGUAAAGCGAGCGCAGGCGGUUUGAUAAGUCUGAAGUUAAAGGCUGUGGCUCAACCAUAGUUCGCUUUGGAAACUGUCAAACUUGAGUGCAGAAGGGGAGAGUGGAAUUCCAUGUGUAGCGGUGAAAUGCGUAGAUAUAUGGAGGAACACCGGUGGCGAAAGCGGCUCUCUGGUCUGUAACUGACGCUGAGGCUCGAAGGUGCGGGUAUCAAACAGGAUUAGAUACCCUGGUAGUCCACGCCGUAAACGAUGAGUGCUAGGUGUUGGAUCCUUUCCGGGAUUCAGUGCCGCAGCUAACGCAUUAAGCACUCCGCCUGGGGAGUACGACCGCAAGGUUG
RNAcentral lists this ribosomal RNA (550 nucleotides) under uncultured bacterium. RNAcentral describes it as "bacterial SSU rRNA". It matches the Rfam family "Bacterial small subunit ribosomal RNA", at positions 355 to 896 of the family's 1533-position model. The record is from RNAcentral.